This 468-nucleotide ribosomal RNA is filed under the name uncultured bacterium. RNAcentral describes it as "partial 16S ribosomal RNA". It matches the Rfam family "Bacterial small subunit ribosomal RNA", at positions 28 to 507 of the family's 1533-position model. The record is from RNAcentral.
GACGAACGCUGGCGGCGUGCUUAACACAUGCAAGUCGAACGGAAAGGCCCGGCUUUUGUGGGUUGCUCGAUUGGCGAACGGGUGAGUAACACGUGAGUAACCUGCCCUUGACUUUGGGAUAACUUCAGGAAACUGGGGCUAAUACCGGAUAUGAUCUCCUGCUGCAUGGUGGGGGUUGGAAAGUUUCGGCGUUUGGGGAUGGACUCGCGGGUUAUCAGCUUGUUGGUGGGGUAGUGGCUUACCAAGGCUUUGACGGGUAGCCGGCCUGAGAGGGUGACCGGCGACAUUGGGACUGAUAUGCGGCACAGACUGCUACGGGAGGGAGCAGUGGGGAAGCUUGCACAAUGGGCGGAAGCCGGAUGAAGCAACGCCGCGUGCCGUAUAACGGUCUUCGGGGUGUAAACCGAAUUCGCCUGUGACGAAGCGUGAGUGACGGUAAUGGGUAAAGAAGCACCGGCUAACUACGUG